Molecule: transfer RNA, 72 nt
Filed under: Fidelibacterota bacterium
Lineage: Bacteria; Pseudomonadati; Fidelibacterota
Description: tRNA-Thr
Rfam family: tRNA
About the family: Transfer RNA (tRNA) molecules are approximately 80 nucleotides in length.
Source: RNAcentral
GCCUACGUAGCUCAGUGGUAGAGCACUUCCUUGGUAAGGAAGAGGUCGCCGGUUCAACCCCGGCCGUAGGCU